Gasterosteus aculeatus aculeatus (three-spined stickleback) is the source of this 776-nucleotide long non-coding RNA. The record is from Ensembl. NCBI's taxonomy places the organism in Eukaryota, Metazoa, Chordata, Actinopteri, Perciformes, Gasterosteidae.
GGAAAACAGAUUCAAGGAACUGGAUUACCAACAACAGUCCUUGGAGUAAGUAACAGGGUUACUCUCCACCAACAUUUCUCUUCAAGAAGAGCUGCACAAGGAGCAGGCCAACAACCACCAGUUGGUAGAAGAACACAAACUGCUAAAGAUCAAGACAGAGGCUCUGGAUGAGACUAUCAGGGAGAACGAGGGUUUAUCUCUGAAGCUCACCGAGACCAAAAAAAAACUUUCUGUCAUAAGUGCUGAUCUCAGGGUCAACAACGAGACCUGGCAGCAGUUGGAAGCAGAAAACAAACUGCUGAAGACCCAGAGGGAUUCUCUGGCUGCUUUAAAAAAGAGCCACCACCAUGAGGAGACCCACCACGAGAUGGUCACAAGCAGUGGUUUUGUGGUUUCACUGAGUUGUGUCUGAUCUCUAAGAUCCAACAAACGGAGGAUACCAUUCCCAAAGAACAUCAGAUCCUUAUCACCAGGAUCCAAGAAUUAGAGGAGGACAAAACAGUCCUUGAAAACAUCUGCCUCGACUUAAAGAAACGGACCGGCAGACGGAGAUGGACAAAAUGAGGUGCAAGAUGCAGGACAAGGAGACAAAGAAAUAGGAGAGAGAAAAGAAGAAAAAGGAGACCAUCCAGGACGUCAAGAUCAACGUGCCUGAGACUGGACACAAUUUUUCUGGACUGACGUUUAAAGAGGAACUGGUGUUCAACAAUUUGCUGAGGUGCUUUACAUAUUGUAGAACAUGUAGUUUUGUUGUCGGGUGGAGCAUGCUGUUGGGG